RNAcentral lists this ribosomal RNA (293 nucleotides) under uncultured bacterium. RNAcentral's name for it is "partial 16S ribosomal RNA". It matches the Rfam family "Archaeal small subunit ribosomal RNA", at positions 455 to 747 of the family's 1478-position model. The record is from RNAcentral.
GUGCCAGCCGCCGCGGUAAUACUGGCAGCCCGAGUGAUGGCCGAUCUUAUUGGGCCUAAAGCGUCCGUAGCUGGCUGCGCAAGUCCGUCGGGAAAUCCACUCGCCCAACGAGUGGGCGUCCGGUGGAAACUGUUUGGCUUGGGGCCAGAAGACCUGAGGGGUACGUCCGGGGUAGGAGUGAAAUCCUAUAAUCCUGGACGGACCACCAAUGGGGAAACCACCUCAGGAGGAUGGACCCGACAGUGAGGGACGAAAGCUAGGGUCUCGAACCGGAUUAGAUACCCGAGUAGUCC